This 76-nucleotide transfer RNA is filed under the name Thermoanaerobaculia bacterium. RNAcentral describes it as "tRNA-Thr". It matches the Rfam family "tRNA". From Rfam's summary of the family: Transfer RNA (tRNA) molecules are approximately 80 nucleotides in length. The record is from RNAcentral. Lineage: Bacteria; Pseudomonadati; Acidobacteriota; Thermoanaerobaculia.
GCCGGUAUAGCUCAGCUGGUAGAGCAACUGACUUGUAAUCAGUAGGUCCUCGGUUCAAAUCCGGGUACCGGCUCCA